RNAcentral lists this ribosomal RNA (620 nucleotides) under uncultured bacterium. Its description in RNAcentral is "bacterial SSU rRNA". It matches the Rfam family "Bacterial small subunit ribosomal RNA", at positions 8 to 621 of the family's 1533-position model. The record is from RNAcentral.
AGAGUUUGAUCCUGGCUCAGAUUGAACGCUGGCGGCAUGCCUUACACAUGCAAGUCGAACGGCAGCACGGGGGCAACCCUGGUGGCGAGUGGCGAACGGGUGAGUACAUCAUCGGAACGUGUCCUCUUGUGGGGGAUAACCAGUCGAAAGGCUGGCUAAUACCGCAUGAGCCUGAGAGGGGAAAGCGGGGGAUUCGAAAGAACCUCGCGCGAGAGGAGCGGCCGAUGUCCGAUUAGCUAGUUGGCGGGAUAACAGCCCACCAAGGCAACGAUCGGUAGCUGGUCUGAGAGGAUGAUCAGCCACACUGGGACUGAGACACGGCCCAGACUCCUACGGGAGGCAGCAGUGGGGAAUUUUGGACAAUGGGGGCAACCCUGAUCCAGCCAUGCCGCGUGUGUGAAGAAGGCCUUCGGGUUGUAAAGCACUUUCGGGCGGAACGAAAUCGCACGGGUUAAUACCACGUGUGGAUGACGGUACCGCAAGAAGAAGCACCGGCUAAUUACGUGCCAGCAGCCGCGGUAAUACGUAGGGUGCGAGCGUUAAUCGGAAUUACUGGGCGUAAAGCGUGCGCAGGCGGUUACGCAAGUCAGGUGUGAAAGCCCCGAGCUUAACUUGGGAAU